UGAUAGCAAUGAAGCGAGAGGUUGCUGUUUAUAUAGAAAAACAGGUUUUUCCGUGGAGCGAAUGUCAAGUUAGGAAACUGGCGACAA
RNAcentral lists this non-coding RNA (87 nucleotides) under uncultured Clostridium sp. RNAcentral describes it as "S10-Clostridia ribosomal protein leader". It matches the Rfam family "S10-Clostridia ribosomal protein leader". The record is from RNAcentral. Lineage: Bacteria; Bacillati; Bacillota; Clostridia; Eubacteriales; Clostridiaceae.